AGACAUGGGACUUGGUGCUGCGGUGAGAUCGUCCAAGUUUGAAAACCGCCCACAUUUGAAGGUGUCUUGGCGGUGGUGUUCAGAAACGAUUUCUACUCCAACCAAGGGUUCCUCUGCGCUAGACUGGUCCAGUGUUGAUCUGCCACACUCGAGUCCUCAAACCCAGAUCUGGACCAACAUGAUUCUGGUCAUGUGAAUGUACGGGGCGGUCACGUUAACCAUCACGUCACACGCUGCCUCAAUCCCGUGGCCAUAGCAGAUGUUUCUAAAAUGUCUGCCAUGGGCCUUCACUAAGGUGUGGGGACGGUGCUGACUCUGUUCCAUUAACGCAGGACCGAGACUUGUCCUGUGACUGGCGCCCUCAAACCCAGUUCUGGGUCAUCUUGGUCACUGCAGUGCUGCUGGAAGUGUUGUCUACAAAAUGGCCGCCCUCCUUUGUUUGUGCAAAUUCCACAUUGCUUGGCUCAUGGAAUGAUAAUCAAUAAAGCACUUAAUUUUAAA
Molecule: long non-coding RNA, 501 nt
Organism: Gadus chalcogrammus (walleye pollock)
Lineage: Eukaryota; Metazoa; Chordata; Actinopteri; Gadiformes; Gadidae
Exons: 6
Source: RefSeq, a predicted model, not a curated record